Molecule: ribosomal RNA, 433 nt
Filed under: uncultured bacterium
Lineage: Bacteria
Description: partial 16S ribosomal RNA
Rfam family: Bacterial small subunit ribosomal RNA
Source: RNAcentral
AGCGAACGCUGGCGGCAGGCCUAACACAUGCCAGUCGAACGAACUCUUCGGAGUUAGUGGCGGACGGGUGAGUAACACGUGGGAACGUGCCUUUAGGUUCGGAAUAACUCAGGGAAACUUGUUCUAAUACCGAAUGUGCCCUUCGGGGGAAAGAUUUAUCGCCUUUAGAGCGGCCCGCGUCUGAUUAGCUAGUUGGUGAGGUAAAGGCUCACCAAGGCGACGAUCAGUAGCUGGUCUGAGAGGAUGAUCAGCCACAUUGGGACUGAGACACGGCCCAAACUCCUACGGGAGGCAGCAGUGGGGAAUCUUGCGCAAUGGGCGAAAGCCUGACGCAGCCAUGCCGCGUGAAUGAUGAAGGUCUUAGGAUUGUAAAAUUCUUUCACCGGGGACGAUAAUGACGGUACCCGGAGAAGAAGCCCCGGCUAACUUCGUG